This 632-nucleotide ribosomal RNA is filed under the name Debaryomyces hansenii. RNAcentral's name for it is "eukaryotic LSU rRNA". The stretch from base 220 to 373 matches the Rfam family "5.8S ribosomal RNA". Lineage: Eukaryota; Fungi; Ascomycota; Pichiomycetes; Serinales; Debaryomycetaceae. The record is from RNAcentral.
ACCUGCGGAAGGAUCAUUACAGUAUUCUUUUUGCCAGCGCUUAAUUGCGCGGCGAAAAAACCUUACACACAGUGUUUUUUGUUAUUACAAGAACUCUUGCUUUGGUCUGGACUAGAAAUAGUUUGGGCCAGAGGUUUACUAAACUAAACUUCAAUAUUUAUAUUGAAUUGUUAUUUAUUUUAAUUGUCAAUUUGUUGAUUAAAUUCAAAAAAUCUUCAAAACUUUCAACAACGGAUCUCUUGGUUCUCGCAUCGAUGAAGAACGCAGCGAAAUGCGAUAAGUAAUAUGAAUUGCAGAUUUUCGUGAAUCAUCGAAUCUUUGAACGCACAUUGCGCCCUUUGGUAUUCCAAAGGGCAUGCCUGUUUGAGCGUCAUUUCUCUCUCAAACCUUCGGGUUUGGUAUUGAGUGAUACUCUUAGUCGAACUAGGCGUUUGCUUGAAAUGUAUUGGCAUGAGUGGUACUGGAUAGUGCUAUAUGACUUUCAAUGUAUUAGGUUUAUCCAACUCGUUGAAUAGUUUAAUGGUAUAUUUCUCGGUAUUCUAGGCUCGGCCUUACAAUAUAACAAACAAGUUUGACCUCAAAUCAGGUAGGACUACCCGCUGAACUUAAGCAUAUCAAUAAGGCGGGAGGAA